CACACCCCAGGCCGCGCCCGCGCCUGCGCCUCAGCCCCGGCUGCAUCUUCCCUGUCUUGUUCCUGAGCGCAGAGGGCUCCUCCGGCCCCGCCGAGCUGCGCCCGCUGCCUUCACACCCCGGACAUCCGCGCCACACUGUUGGAUCCUGGAUCCUGUUCUAGAAGGAGACGCUGAGUUCUCCCCACUCUACCUGGAGCUGCUGAGGUCAAGUGGAGAGUGCCGGGGCUGAAGCCCAGCGAGCCCCUCCCUGUCACACCACACUGCACAUGUGACACCAAAGGUGGGGUUCACCUCUUUUCAGACUUUCUGCGGUUGCCCUCACAUGGGCUGUCUGGAGGUGCACCCUCACUCUUCCUGAGGACUGUGGUUCCUUCUCCAUCACUGGUUCAUUCUGCAUGGUGUGACCCACCACGGCUCUGGAGUCGGAUUUCCACCCAGGUCAUUCAGCUGAGACCUGCGCUUCUCAGGCCUACCCGUGACAUGUGCUCAGUUACCUGAGCUGCUGGUGGUCACUCAUGUGGCUAUAGCCUGCUGCCUGGAGGCCAGGCCUCCUGCUUCCCCCUCUCCUCACCACAGCCUGUUGGGAUGGAACAGGACAGGGGGUGAGACCGUGGUGCUUUCACACUCAGCCUCCAUGGACAUCCUGUCAUUCCCACCCGGGGAGGUCUGGUCCCCACCCUGGGUGUCCCAGCCUAGCUCCGCUACGAGUGUGAGGGCCCAGGGCAACCGCCUAGCCCUCAUCUGCCCCCUGCACUGCAUCCUCCCCACUCAUUCAUUCCACCGGCAUUUAUUGAGCAUCUACUGUGUGCCAGAUGCAAAGAAGACAGUGGGAUAACUGGGUAAGGAGCAUUCCAGGCAGAGGGAGCAGGCAGUGCAAACAUGGGAGAUGCGGUUGCAGUGAGAAGGAGCAGAGGAGACCAGGAGUUGAGGUGACUGCAGAGCGAUUGCAGAGCUCAUAGACGUGAUGAAGACCAGCUGGGCACUGCAGCGGCUCUGGCUUCUGCUGUGAGGGACGGGGAGCUGUGGAGACUCCCUCUGUUUGGUCCCAUUUCCAUAUUGCUGAGCACCUGCUGCAUGCUCUCUGUCCUGCUCAGAGCCAGUACCUGGAUGGAGACUGUGUGUUCUGGGUGGACUGCGGGAGAAUGCAUUCUUUGCAGAAGAGACAACCAGGUGCUGAUGCCUGAAGUCAUAACCAGACCUGAGGCACUCAGACAAGGACUGGUGGCCAGGCCAGAGGAGCAGAGCUCAGGGUGUGCACAGAACUCAGAAGUCAGACCAUUGAACAGUGACAGAACCUUUCAGCCCAUUGGCAAUGAGGCUGCCCAGGCAGCCAGAGGCCUGGUCAAAUCUGAGGUCUGCAGAGAUGGAGCUGUCAUUCUGUGUUUCCUUUGGCAGUCCCAACACCAGCCUCGUUGCACCCUCCUCUUAGCUUCCCUGGGUUCUCCAGCCCUAAGGGUGGUAGCAGCUUCCUACAAGUAUCCAGCUCUGAGAUUCUGCAACAUCCACUUUUGCUCUCUGAGCCUUGCAAAACCUGCACAAUCAGUCCCUAACUUAUAUCCCCUCUGUUUGAAAUACCUAGUGUGGUUUCUA
Molecule: long non-coding RNA, 1590 nt
Organism: Pan troglodytes (chimpanzee)
Lineage: Eukaryota; Metazoa; Chordata; Mammalia; Primates; Hominidae
Exons: 2
Source: RefSeq, a predicted model, not a curated record